UACGGAGGGGGCCAGCGUUGUUCGGAAUUACUGGGCGUAAAGCGCACGUAGGCGGCUUUGUAAGUUAGAGGUGAAAGCCCGGGGCUCAACUCCGGAACUGCCUUUAAGACUGCAUCGCUAGAAUUGUGGAGAGGUGAGUGGAAUUCCGAGUGUAGAGGUGAAAUUCGUAGAUAUUCGGAAGAACACCAGUGGCGAAGGCGACUCACUGGACACAUAUUGACGCUGAGGCGCGAAAGCUAGGGGAGCAAACGGG
This 253-nucleotide ribosomal RNA is filed under the name uncultured bacterium. Its description in RNAcentral is "partial 16S ribosomal RNA". It matches the Rfam family "Bacterial small subunit ribosomal RNA", at positions 524 to 776 of the family's 1533-position model. The record is from RNAcentral.